Long non-coding RNA from Esox lucius (northern pike), 907 nucleotides. The record is from Ensembl. NCBI's taxonomy places the organism in Eukaryota, Metazoa, Chordata, Actinopteri, Esociformes, Esocidae.
CCCUCCCCUCUCCCUCCUAUCUCUAACACACAUGGUGGCAGUACUAUACUCCACCUCCCAAAGGAAUAGUGUUUAACUCGCUGACAAGAAGGGUUUAAGGCCGGGGACGGGGUGUACGUGCGUGUGCACGUGCGUGUGUGUGGUGCGGGUGGGGGCGGGGAGGGUAAAUUGUUUAGUGUUUCUGUGCUGACUCCACAUAUGAUCCCCAUUAGCUAACAGGGCGUUUGCUAACACAGACACACACACGGUAAGGGGUGAUUUUAAUCCGGUGUUAACCAUAAUGGAUCCAAUCGAGCUGUUGGACAGUAACCGUAGCUACCGCGGACAUCCCAGACACCAAUACUGGCCUGCUCUCCUCCAUUGGGUUCUAUUCUGAUGAUGAACACGGGUGAUAAUGGCAGUGGUCCCACGUCACCUUCUGAGAUAACAUGGGACGCUUUCCUGACAGACGUAGGAUUGGCUCUCCCGAAACGUACACUUUACAACUGAUCUGAAGAUAUCUGCGUUUUGGCAUGACGACGCCCCCUGUGUUGUUCAGCUGGCUUAGAGUGGAGGGUGAGGAUUGCCACCCCUGUUCUACUGGCGCAGUGUUUAUGCCCCCUAUCCGCCUUGAGAAGUCACUUCAUAGUCAUAAUCUCAUUAUGCAUAGCGCAAUCCUUCUUUAGAAGGAGAUGGAAGAAGCGGCUGGGCUGGGGAUUUUGUCUGGGUAUAUCGUUGGGGGGGUGGGGGAGCAGGGUUCCCUUUUCUAAAUGUUUUGGGGUCUUCUGUUAUGGGUACCGUAUCCUUUGUUUUUUUACAAUAAAAGUUUUAAUUGUACAUUUGUGUCUAUCAACAAAAAACUUUAUUGACUUAGCUAGCAGUGCUUAUAUAUCUAACCGUGCAGCAGAUUUACUAUACCAUGUUUUAC